Osmia bicornis bicornis is the source of this 5191-nucleotide RNA transcript. It is a transcript of the gene named toll-like receptor 6, with no coding region annotated. The transcript has 3 exons. The record is from RefSeq and is a predicted model, not a curated record. Lineage: Eukaryota; Metazoa; Arthropoda; Insecta; Hymenoptera; Megachilidae.
GUAGCGAGUGUUAUGGUUUCGAGUGUCGUGCUCUACGGAUAUUCUAUUCUCUUCUCUUGCUCUCGUCCUUAAUAUCCGGGAAACUCGUGCGAAUUUAUCUUGAUCGUAAGAGCGAUGGAAACUCGGUAAGGAAGGAUCGCAAUUUCAAACCGUGUCGAUUACGUCGCUUAUUGGAAACGGUGCGAUGCACGCGCGUUGGCAAUGGGACAUUUCGCGAACGGAAUAGGAAACAUAAAAUUUCACCGGAACUCUAGGUUAGUGUCGGAUAAUUCGUCGAGUAAAAGUAUGAACAGGGAGGCGGUGAACGUUGUCGAUCCUCCGAUGACUAAGCAACGUAAACAAGUAUCAUUUUGACAAGAGGAGAGAAAACGAAACGCGCGAACUGAAUUCACUAAGCGUCUCGACGUUUGUACGUAAUCAACUCGAGGAUUCACUCAGUCGGUAAUACGAUACUUUCAGUCAAACCGGUCGAGUAUCUCGGCUCGAAAUGUUUGAAACGCGGACGAUUUGCCGGUCGGGUGAAGUGUGAUUCUUUAAGUGUAGACUACUUGAAAACACUCAGUGAAACGCGAUAAUAUUCUGCCUCUUCUGCUCGAUUAAAAGGACCGUAUACAGAAGACGAGGCAGUCGAGUUCGACGAGUGAGUCGUGUUCCGGGAUUCUUAACAACAAACAUUCGAGUCAUUAAGACUUCUGACGAUCGAGGAUCAACGAUCGGCGUCGAGAGGCAGCGCCACACAUGCGAGUCAUUCGUAGUAAAUACUGGAGGGCGUACAGAAGCGACCACAACGUGCGUUAAUAAGAGCGGUGGGAGGCGUGUGAUGACCGGGAGGAGACAGAGGAGCGGAAAUACGGGAAGGCAACGGGUUCGGUAAAGAUGCGUGGGCUUGCCGGUCCGCAAGGGCUGAGGAGAUCGGUGUCGCUGUCGUUGGUUUACUACUACUGUCUUCUGGUCCCGGUAUACCACGUGCUCGCCGUGACCAGCGAGCUACCACCCAGGCUCGAUCUGCCCGAGCAUUGUUCCUGGGAGUCGAGACAGGAUGGCGCGGUCACUUGCGUGCAUCGUUACGUCGGCAACGAUUCGCUCAGAACGAACUUUUCUCAAGCUACCAGCGAGUACGUGACCACGGUGAACGUGGUCUGCGAGGAUUCCGAGUCACUGGGAAACGGUGUCCUGAACGUCGACGGGUUCGUACAGUUAUGGAGAUUGCGAUCACUCAGGUUGACUGGAUGCAAGCUGGUACACUGGCCGGCCAAAGUUCUCAGCGGUCUCCGAGAUCUUCGCAAUCUGACGAUCAGAAGCUUGAACGGGCGGAAGAGCAAUUACAGUUUGGAGCUGGAGAACGGCGCGUUCGAUUCGGUCCCGCAGAUCGAGAAGAUUGAUUUAUCGUGGAACAACAUCUGGCAGAUACCGGAACACUUGUUUUGCCCGCUGUCGAACUUGCUCACUUUGAACAUCUCUUGGAACAUGUUGAAGGACAUCGGUGAGCUUAGCUUCAGGGACAUCGAGACGGAGAAACAUCCGAGGCGUCAACAGGAAUCCACCCCGUCGCCGUAUCCAUGUUCCUUGGACGUGCAGUCGUUGGACGUGUCGAACAAUCAAAUUUUGGUGCUGCCUGCUUACGGAUUUUCCUCGUUGAAGAGGCUGCGAGUGUUGAACUUAUCCAGCAACGCGAUCUCCAUGGUAGUGGACGAGGCAUUGCACGGGCUUAGAUCGUUGGAGACGUUCGAUUUGUCGAGCAACAGAAUCGUCGCGUUGCCGACGGAAAUGUUUCGUGACUCGGCGAAAUCUUUGAAGGAGUUACGAUUGCAGAAUAACUCGAUCAGCGUACUGUCGCCGGGCCUGAUCGCCGACAUGAAUCAGCUGGUGGCGUUGGAUCUAUCGAGGAACGCGUUGACCAGCUCGUGGCUAAACUCCGCCACGUUCUCCGGAUUGAUUCGGCUGGUCCUCUUGAAUCUGUCCCAUAAUCGAAUCAGUCGGUUGGACCCAGCCCUCUUCAAAGACCUUUACACCCUGCAGAUAUUGAAUUUGCAGUACAACGAGAUCGAGACGAUACCGGCGGACACGUUCGCGCCGAUGAGUAAUCUGCACACGCUAGAUCUAGCGUACAAUCGAUUAACUUACCUGGACGCUUACUCUCUGAACGGGCUGUUCGCACUUUCCCUGCUGUCGCUCGAUUCUAAUCAACUCGAAGGUAUUCACCCGGAUGCCUUUCGAAAUUGCUCCAGUAUGCAGGACCUGAAUCUGUCCGGGAACAGUCUGGACAGCAUACCGGUCGCAUUGAAGGACAUGAGAAUGCUCCGUACCCUGGACCUUGGUGAGAAUCAAAUCAGAACCUUGAACAGGCCGGGUUUUCGUGGAAUGUCCAGUCUCUACGGAUUACGAAUGAUCGAGAACGAGAUCACGAACGUUACCGUCGAGGAUUUCGCCGAGCUGCCAGCAUUGCAGAUCCUGAAUUUGGCCAGGAACAAGAUCGAAACGGUGGAGGACGGAGUGUUUUCCGCGAACCCGGCUUUACAGGCGAUUCGUUUGGACUCGAAUUUGUUGCAGGACAUGUCCGGUAUGUUCGCGAGCGCGCCCGGUCUCCUAUGGUUGAACAUGUCCGACAACAUGAUCGCUCAGUUCGAUUACAGUUACUUGCCGGAGAAAUUGCAGUGGAUGGAUCUGCAUAAAAAUCUUAUUAUGGAUCUCGGCGUCGCGCCACAGGGAAUGAGAUUACAGACGCUCGACGUGUCGUUCAACCAGCUAACGAGGAUACACUCGAGGUCGAUACCGGAUUCCAUCGAGCUACUGUUCGUCAACGAUAAUCUGAUACAAACGGUCGAACCGCAAACGUUUUUCGACAAGAAGAAUCUGACCAGGGUCGAUCUUUACGCGAAUCAGAUAGUCAAGAUGAACCUGUCCGCGCUUCAGUUGACUCCGGUACCAGCUUACCGACAAUUGCCCGAGUUUUAUAUAGGAGGGAAUCCGUUCAUAUGCGACUGCACCACCGAAUGGUUGCAACGAAUCAAUUCGCUGUCGCUGAGGCAACACCCGAGGGUAAUGGAUCUCGAGUCGGUUUAUUGCCGGCUUCCCUACGAUCGACACAAAUCUUACAUACCGUUGCUCGAGGCUAAACCGUCUCAAUUUCUCUGCACGUACAAGGCUCACUGUUUCGCGCUCUGUCAUUGUUGCGACUUCGACGCGUGCGACUGCGAGAUGACCUGCCCGACCAACUGCACUUGCUAUCACGAUCAAUCCUGGUCGGCGAACGUGGUGGAUUGCUCCAACUCCGGCUACAAAACGCUACCCGGUCGAUUGCCGAUGGACGCAACCGAGGUUUACCUCGAUGGAAACAAUUUCGGGGAAUUGAAUUCCCACUCGUUCAUCGGCCGGAAGAACCUGCAGAUCCUGUACGCGAACGAUAGCAACAUCAUCGCUAUACGGAAUCACACUUUCAGCGGUUUGAAGCGUCUGUUGGUCCUUCAUCUGGAGAACAACAAGAUAAGCGUGCUCAACGGUGUAGAAUUGAUGCCGUUGGAGAACCUGAAGGAGCUCUACCUACAAAACAAUCUACUGACUUAUAUAGAUAACCAAACGUUUCUUCCGCUACGUCAGCUGGAAGUGUUACGGCUGGAGAACAAUCGGCUCGGCACUUUCGCCGUUUGGCAACUCGGACAGAAUCCUUAUCUGGUUGACAUCGGUUUGUCGAGCAACCCAUGGAGCUGCGAGUGCUCUUACUUGGAUCGUGUGCGCGAGUGGAUGUCCCGUAACCGAGCAAAGAUCAGCGACUGGCGUAGCGUCACCUGUUCACUCGGGGUGCCUAUUACUCUUCCGACCAACGGAUCGGUCAUAAAUUGCGCCGCGUUAACCGGCACGACCUCGGUCAUCGAGAGCCGACCGCUCGAGGCUUAUCUGCCGCUACUGCUCGCCACCGCGGUGCUGAUUUUUGCGAUGGUCGCUCUGGUGUGCGGCGCCUUCAGGCAUCGUCGUACGCUAAGGACAUGGGCAGCGAGCAGAUGCGGUUUGAGAGCUUGCUACAAAACUGCCGCGUUCGAGGAUCAGGAGAAACCCUUCGACGCUUACAUCUCCUAUUCGGCUGUCGACGAAGCGUUCGUAUCGACGAUCCUGGUACCAGGUCUGGAGACCUCGUAUCGUUUGUGUUUGCACUACCGGGACCUGGGCGCCGGUAGCAACGUUGCGGAUGCAGUGGCCGAGGCUGCCGAUUCCUCGAGGCGCACCAUCCUCGUGCUGUCCAAGAACUUUCUGCACGGCGAGUGGGCCAGGUUCGAGUUUAAAGCGGCGCUUAGGGACGCUCUGAAAGGGAAGGGCCGUUCGGUGAUCCUGCUGCUGGUAGGCGGUGUGUGUCCACGGGAUCUCGACGCCGAUCUCAAAAAGAGAAUCUCCUCGCACACCGUGCUGGUGUGGGGGGACAAGUUGUUUUGGCAGAAGCUAAGGUUCGCCAUGCCAGACGUGUCCCCUGUUCCUGUUUUGGAGAGACCCCUGCCAUUGCCGCCGCCGCCUCCGCCCCCGGCGCAGCAUCAAUGGACGUAGAACUGCCAUUAUUUAGAUGUGAACUGUUGCCAGAAGUAUUAUCGAUUCGCAUUACGCAUGAAGUAAUUGAAAAUCGCAGUGGGCAAAGGAUUCCCGACUGUUGCGCGACGUUUCUCUCUACUUAUUAUCAAGAAGUAUUUCUUACUAUCGCAAUUGUACUCCGUAACACGGUGUUCUCACCUAAAGUAAACGGUUUAUUCGUAUUUUUGAGACUCGUGAUAGCUUCGUAGUGUGCAAAUGUAAUUAGGGCGAUGAACAGCGAUAAAACAAACCAAAACAAGAACAAAAACAACAGGAAUAAAUGAGAGCGAAGAAAACGAAAAAAAAAAAAACUCACGAAAAAAAAGCAGAAGAAAAAGAAGAAGAAUGAUGAUUAAAUGAAAACCACAUACACAACACAAACACACACAGAGAGCAUACUACCUUUAAUUAACUCGUAAUUGCAACGAAGUAAACAAGUUUUUUCUCUUUCUACUCGAACUCGAAUAGUUUAUUAAAUCCGAUCGAUCGAAUAAUUGUAAGAAUACCUAUCGAUCGAUCGAUUCGGUGAACCUAGAGGGGGUCUAGCGUGUCUCCUCCGAUGAGCGUUCUCUUGUUUCUCGUCGAGCAGGAGAUUUUCAUUGUACAUAGCGAGAGUUUUGUAUAUUUGUAAUAUAGA